Molecule: ribosomal RNA, 332 nt
Filed under: uncultured eukaryote
Lineage: Eukaryota
Description: partial 18S ribosomal RNA
Rfam family: Eukaryotic small subunit ribosomal RNA
Source: RNAcentral
CCCUUAGAUGUUCUGGGCCGCACGCGCGCUACACUGUUCGACGCAGCGAGUCUUAACCUUGACCGAAAGGUUUGGGUAAUCUUCAGCAAAGUCGAACGUGAUGGGGAUCGAUCAUUGCAAUUAUUGAUCGUGAACGAGGAAUUCCUAGUAAGUGCAAGUCAUCAGCUUGCGCUGAUUACGUCCCUGCCCUUUGUACACACCGCCCGUCGCUACUACCGAUUGAAUGGUUUAGUGAUAUCUCUGGAUUGACGCUGGCUAGGGGGCGACCCUUGGCCAGACUGCUCGAGAAACUGCUCAAACUUGAUCAUUUAGAGGAAGUAAAAGUCGUAACA